Molecule: small RNA, 354 nt
Filed under: Vigna angularis var. angularis
Lineage: Eukaryota; Viridiplantae; Streptophyta; Magnoliopsida; Fabales; Fabaceae
Description: Non-protein coding transcript
Source: RNAcentral
GAAGGUUUUGAAGCCAUAAGGGACACUGAACUAGAAAAUGGAUAAUUGAGCUUGAGCGUUGUCCUGAGAAAUGGGAACAGCCAAAAUAGAUUGGAAAUGGAGAGGGAAAUAGAAGAUGAAGCAUGAACCACGUGUUUGAAAGCUAUAAAGCCCCUCCUAUCUCUAUAUCUCUUCUCCUCUGUGUAUGGUUUGGCGGUGGUUGGAAAGGCAGAAAUUUUUUUCCCAUACUCUUUUGGACUCUUAUCCAAUUUCAUGGAAUGCAGCUACGCAGUGACUAUCUUCACCUUUAAAUUACAUUUCUCUGUCUUUAUGAGUUUUUCUUUGUCUUUAGCUUAGCUUCCUCUUUUAUUUUUA